AAGUCGUAACAAGGUUUCCGUAGGUGAACCUGCGGAAGGAUCAUUAUUUGAUCUGAAUUGGCGGCAUUUGAAAAAUGCAGCCUUUUUGCUUUGUGAACUGUCUUGUACUGUUGUUUUUUUUUUAAUAGUUGCUUUUUUUCUUCGGAAAAAAAAUAAAGACAACUUUCAGCAAUGGAUCUCUUGGCUCUU
This 189-nucleotide unclassified non-coding RNA is filed under the name fungal sp. RNAcentral's name for it is "partial internal transcribed spacer region". The stretch from base 1 to 46 matches the Rfam family "Eukaryotic small subunit ribosomal RNA", at positions 1786 to 1831 of the family's 1831-position model. The record is from RNAcentral. Lineage: Eukaryota; Fungi.